UUUGAAGAAAAAGAAGAAAGCACAAGAUAAAGGAGAAAAGUAAAAAGAAGAAAGAAAAAAGAAAAAGGACAAAAAAGAAAUCCGACGCGAAAAAGGCGACGAGAUAAAAGGAUUCGAAGGAAAUGAGGACGAUGAGAAAAACCGUAAGGAUCGCUUAAGCCUCAUCCUCGCGUGCAAAUGAGAGGGAGAGAGACGCCAAGACUUUGAUACAUAUAUAUACAUAUGUACACAAUACUUACACAUAUAAAAAAAAAUUUCUAGAUAAGAGGAUAUAAUUUAAGAUUUUAUUAGUCUAGAUAUAUGUCUCUGUUUAUGUCGCUCGUACAUGAGAAGUACAAUUUUGCACAUAUAUAUACAAUUACAUAAGAAAAUCUUCCACCCACUAAAAUACAACGAAACCGUAAUUCAACACAAGGUAAAAUAGCGAGAGAAACAAAAAAAGAGAGAGAGAGAGAGAGAAAGAAAAUUCUAAACUUCCAACUUGUUAACUAAUUCUGCAAACUUUAAAACUACAAAAAAAACAUUAGAAAAAUAUUUUUCCUUUUAUCGUUUUAUUCAACGAUAGAAACAAAAUAAAAAAAAACAACAAACAAAAUAAAGACAAACAAAAAAAAAACAACAGUUUCGUAAAAUCGAAUAAAUUCCCCAAGACUCCAGAGAGUGACUCUCUCUUUUUCGUGCGGCAAAAAACGAAAACAGGACCAGAUACAAGAACAACAACAACAACAACAAAAAGAACCAAAAUUCUCAGAAUAAAAUAGGAAUAAGACUGACGCUUAAAAAAGCGAUUGUGACACGUUUUGAAGAAAAAAAGUGUGUGUUGCUGUGUGUUUUUUCCAAAAAAAAAAAAAUUUUUCUAAUUUCUAAUUUUUUUAAUGUUUGAUGCGAAGAAGAAAAAAAUUUUCAUUCCCAUUUCCUCGUAGUUAUGCGAAUAUGUGUAAAUAAAGAAAAGGAAAUUUGGGUGAAAAAAAAAUUGUGAAGUGAAUUUUCGGUUCUUUUUUUCUUCUCCUACCUUUUUUGACAAAAAAAAAAAAAAAAAAGAAGAAGAAAAAGAAGACAAAAAAAAAGGGAAAAGGAGGGAAAAAUUACGGGAAAAAAAAAUUAGUUAUUCAAAAUGCCACGUUGUUACAUGGUGAAGAAGGCUUUAUGCAACAAGUAUAUAAACAGCGUCGCCAGAGGAUUCGAGAAUCGGCCUCGAGGAAGAAGCACACCAUCCCCAACCAAUGUCUCUCCCCUGGAAGACAAUCCUUAUCCUGUUGCACUUCAAGAAGCGCCACUAUCGGAGGAGAAAGAUGAAUCGACAUCCUCAUGUGAAAAAUCAACAAAUCGUCUCGAAAGGAUCCACGACGAGAAUGCAAUCAACCAAUCAGAUUCUCAGCAAAAAUCGCCAAAGAGACAACAUCAAAAAAACACCGAAAACCCCGUCGUCGUCGUUGUCGUCGCCGCCGCAGCCGCCGAACAACAAUCGGAGAAAUCGCUUGAAAAUUCCAUAAAAAAAUCGCCUAAAAAACGUUUUCAAAGGGUACAAGACGUCAUCGAGAAUGUAAUCGAUCAAUGCAAUCCACCAAAAUUGACAAAUCUAAAAUCAACGGUAAUUUCAUCUAUUGGUAAUGUAUUGCAACCGACAUCAUCACAAACAUCAUCAUCAUCAUCAUCAUCAUCAAUAUCGUCUUCAAAAAAUCCCGACGAAAUUAGGACGGAAAAUAUUCUCUCCCAAUAUAAUCAAUCAUCAUCAUCAUUAUUAUCAAUCGAUGGUUGCGCCUCACGUCUCGAAAUUCUCUCGCCCUACAAAACAACGGAACGUUUUCGUUCAACUUUCGAAUCGGUCAUCAUUACAAAGGAUCAAAUACAGAAUUCCGAUCAUCAAAUGGGACAUCACUUUGGUAAUAAUAAUCGAAUUACGGAUCAAGUUCAAAGUGAAUUUGUCAAGGAUCGAAGGGAAAGUGGAACGAAUUAUGUUGAGGAGAAAAUGGAAAUUGGCGUCAUUCGAGAGAGAUCGGUAAUUACCGAGGGGGAAACGAGGUUAAAUCGAUUGGCAAGGGAAACGGAAGUUGCGAGUGAAUUUUUCCGGGAUCACAGAGAGAGAUCGUUGAAUGUUGAGACGACGACGACAACAACAACAACAACAAGUGAUGUGGCGGCGACGAGGACGACGACAACAAUUGGCCUAUUUAGAGAUAGAUCGGCGGCCGAGACGGAAGCUGCUCACGAUCUAUUGGAAUUGUCGAGAUCAUUGCCGCCAUUACCGCAACCAAGUGUCGCGAUUGGUCCGCAAAAUGUCAUCGAAUUGCCAUCGACAGACGUUCAGGAAAUGACUGUAUAUCAACCUGCCGAGCAACCGGUCUAUCAAGUGAACACAAUUUUCGCCAGUGAUUUAACAAACACUGGAAUAUAUCAUCAUCAUCAUCAUCAUCAGCAACAUCAUCAUCAACAACAGCAGCAGCAACAGCAAAAUCAUCAUCAAAAUCAUCAUCACAGUCUUCAUCACAGUAAUCAUCAUACGGGAAUUAUUUAUGAGCCAACGGCGGUAGCAGUAGCAGCAACAACAACAACAACGGCAACAGCAACGACAAAUGCAACAAUUAUUCAACAAACGCCAGGCGGUGUUUUUAUACCAUUAUCGCCAGUUCAAGAGAUUUUGUUCACGUACAGCACUCCGUCCGUGCCGACGUCAAUUAUCACUCAGCAAACAAUUGAGACAGUUCCGCCAUUGACGCCACCGACAUCCGAGUGCAGCAGCGACAUCGAGAACAAUAAUCCAAAUUCACAACCAACUCAACGUGACAAGGAGGUGCAGACAAUCACCGAACAGUCCGAGGUGAAGGUCGCCGCCUACACCUACGACACUCUUCUCGUCGCCGAUGGGAGAUCGAAAAAUAAAAAGCUACCACCGCAACAGCAGAACGUAGAGGAUGUCGACACUGAACCUGUUGAUAAUCUCGAGUCGCCCAAGGGUGGACGGUAUAUUUGCUGUGAAUGUGGCAAACAAUAUGCGACAUCAUCAAAUUUAUCGCGACACAAGCAGACACAUCGCAGUAUUGAUUCACAAUCGGCGAAAAAAUGUAUUUACUGUGGCAAGGCGUACGUGAGUAUGCCGGCAUUGGCAAUGCACGUAUUGACACACAAAUUAACGCACAGCUGUGGUGUUUGUGGGAAAAUGUUCUCCAGACCAUGGUUACUUCAAGGCCAUUUACGAAGUCACACGGGCGAAAAACCAUAUGGCUGCGCCCACUGCGGCAAGGCAUUUGCCGAUCGUUCAAAUCUACGUGCCCACAUGCAAACACAUUCGGCCGACAAAAAUUACGAAUGUCCAAGGUGUCGAAAAUCAUUUGCGCUCAAAUCUUAUUUAAAUAAACAUCUCGAGUCCGCAUGCCAAAAGGAAAAUGGUGAUAUGGAUGACAAUGAAGUUUCGUCCACGUAAAACAACGAUUUUAAGACUGUUAAACUUGCAGUUGAAAUUGUACCAAUUGAAGAAGAAUUUCCCACGACGAAUAUUUUCCAGUCACAAUAAUGGGAAAUCGUAUAAAGCACAUAAGAAGUUUAUAUGUAUAGAAAUAAGCAACGAUCAAAAAAAAGAAGAAAUAAAGAAAGAAAUGGAAAUUUAUCGUAAACGUUCGAGGACCAGGAAAGCAAAUACAAGUGCGUGUCGUACUUUAUGUUUCGUUCGACCUCUUCAGGACUUCACAUUAACAGGACCUCAUGUAAUUUUCAUCAUUUUAGUGUAAAAUUUGGAUGAUUUCGACGAUUUGGACAAUAUUCUACAAUGGAGAAUUUCGAAAAAUUGGCGCAUCACAUCGCAGUCUUUCGAGAGACGUCGGAGAGGGAACAAUACUCGUCGGGACACCAUCAAAAUUGUUGCAAACUUGCCCGGAAUUUUCGAUUUUAAGGCUAUAAGAAGAGAGGAAACCCAACAAAAAAGGGGACUCAAGACUCAACUCAACAAGCUUGGAUCGAAAUUUUCCGGAAUUCUUCAAAAAUUUCAUUUAGUGUUCCGAUUUUAUUGUAAAUUAGAAUAUUUUUUUCUCAAAUUUAGAAUUUUAAUUUCUUCGUCUAAUGUGAAAUUAUUUUUGUAAAUUAUUUAGCUAGGAAUUUUGAAUUAAAAAAAUGCAAUUAUAUUAGCUAGGAAAUUAACAAUUAAGGUAUACUAGUUUUAAGGAAGAAAAAAUAAUUUCUAUUUAAGAAGAGAACUUUCAACAUCCAGGAUCAACUUUCUUCUUCAAAGAAAAGGGAAUCCCUGGCUAAAUAAUUUAACAAAUUUUCGGUAAUGUUCGACGAGAAAUAACCUAAUACAUCGAAAGCUAAGUACUUUAGGAAAUUUCGAAGAUUUCCGCACAAUUUAGAACCAUUCUUCGGAGUUAUUUGAAGUUCAGUUAACCUUUUCCUUUCCUAUCGAU
Molecule: RNA transcript, 4394 nt
Organism: Leptopilina heterotoma
Lineage: Eukaryota; Metazoa; Arthropoda; Insecta; Hymenoptera; Figitidae
Gene name: dual specificity protein kinase pyk3-like
Exons: 9
Source: RefSeq, a predicted model, not a curated record